GAGAACUUGCUCUGGUUGCGGACAAGGAGGAUAAUAAUUCAUCCUUAAUGAUUGCAUCCCGUUUUCAAACAGCUCUUUCAUGUCAUUGGGAUCCAUUCUUAGAGCUUUAGCCAUUAGGUCAAGGAUUUUCAAGGUAAGAUUUUUAAGUUCCGUUAAGUAAACUUCCAAGUCAUCUCUGCAUGCAAAUAAUAAUAUAUAGUCCAGUAAUUAUCAUAAGAUAGAAUAUUCUAUAUAAGAAAAGUCUAAAAUUUAAGUAUAGAACCUGAAUGGAAGAGGCAACUUGGGGAACAAGUGGGGUUUCCUCAGAUGGGUUGGGAGAGUGAACAUAGUAAAGCCGUAUCCCCAAUCAAGCUUCUGCUCUUCAGACGUAAUAAAAAGCUGCCCAAAUCCCUCAAUAUCUCCUGGCUGCUGCCAAAACUUCUUUUUCUCAUCAAUUGGAAGAUUAAAGAAUUCUUGAAUCUCUGCUUUCACUUUCUCCACCAAUGAACUGCUCACUCCAUGAUUCAUCAACUGCAUAUAUGCAAAUUAAAGCAAGAUGUUCUUUCCAUAUAUACAUGGUUCAUAAAGGAAAUUUUGAAGUUCUGGAAACAAAAUGAUUUUUAUGGAAAAAGCUAAAGAAACGGAGAGCUGAUAAAAUGCUGACAAAAACAACGAUAAAUCAGUGUCUGUUUAAUGGGUUUACAAUCAAGUGACUAAUCCGGUACUGAUUUACUUUGUUUUUUGUAAACGUUUUGUCUAAUUUUUAUUAUCUGAAUAUCACUGCUAAAUUGUUAUGUACCUGAAAGAAACCCCAGUCUUUACAUGCAUGGUUCAUAUAGGAAACUUAAAGCUCAGGAAGUAAAAUGAUUUUUAUGGAAAAUGUAAAAACACUGAGACCUGAAAAAACGCUAACCAAAGCAAUGAUUUGCAAUCAAUUAAGUAUUUUCAUUAUAUGAAUAUCACUGCUCAAUUAUUAUGUACCUGAAAGAAACCCCACUCUUUACAUGCAUGGUCAAGCUUCUCAAGCUCUGAGUCAUCCCCAGAGAGCAACGUGUGCAUGUCAAUGACUGGAAGUUGUUGUGCUGAAGAAUCGUCGUUGCGAAUCAAGGGAUGGUCUAUCUCAGGGCGAACAUAACGUGGCGGAACAGUUGUCAGUGGCAGAUUA
RNAcentral lists this long non-coding RNA (1144 nucleotides) under Citrus x clementina. RNAcentral describes it as "Citrus clementina (C. clementina) long non-coding RNA (CCLE_LNC002895)". Lineage: Eukaryota; Viridiplantae; Streptophyta; Magnoliopsida; Sapindales; Rutaceae. The record is from RNAcentral.